UACGUAGGGUGCGAGCGUUGUCCGGAAUUAUUGGGCGUAAAGGGCUCGUAGGCGGUUUGUCGCGUCGGGAGUGAAAACCUCGGGCUUAACUCGGGGCUUGCUUUCGAUACGGGCAGACUGGAGGUAUGCAGGGGAGAACGGAAUUCCUGGUGUAGCGGUGAAAUGCGCAGAUAUCAGGAGGAACACCGGUGGCGAAGGCGGAUCUCUGGGCCAUUACUGACGCUGAGGAGCGAAAGCGUGGGGAGCGAACAGG
Molecule: ribosomal RNA, 253 nt
Filed under: uncultured bacterium
Lineage: Bacteria
Description: partial 16S ribosomal RNA
Rfam family: Bacterial small subunit ribosomal RNA
Source: RNAcentral